Molecule: non-coding RNA, 81 nt
Filed under: Pseudomonas sp. WPR_5_2
Lineage: Bacteria; Pseudomonadati; Pseudomonadota; Gammaproteobacteria; Pseudomonadales; Pseudomonadaceae
Source: RNAcentral
AAAGAUCGCAGCCUGCGGUAGCUCCUACGGGAUCGGGUUUACAUCCGGAUAGUGUAGGGGCUGCCGCAGGCUGCGAUCUUU